Molecule: ribosomal RNA, 400 nt
Filed under: phytoplankton environmental sample
Lineage: Eukaryota
Description: partial small subunit ribosomal RNA
Rfam family: Eukaryotic small subunit ribosomal RNA
Source: RNAcentral
AGCUCCAGUAGCGUAUAUUAAAGUUGUUGCAGUUAAAAAGCUCGUAGUUGGAUUUCUGGUUUGGCGCGUUCGACACGUACCGGUUACGGUUACGAAUGUUGUAUGCGCGCCUGCCAUCCUUCCAGAGACCGUUUCUACCCUUCAUUGGGAUCGGAUUCGCAAUCUGGAUCUUUUACUUUGAAAAAAUUAGAGUGUUUAAAGCAGGCUUGUGCUAUGAAUACAUUAGCAUGGAAUAAUAAUUUAGGACUCUCAGUUCUAGGUUGUUGGUUUCUAGAACUGAAGUAAUGAUUGAUAGGGAUAGUUGGGGGUGCUAGUAUUCAGCGGCCAGAGGUGAAAUUCUUGGAUUCGCUGAAGACUAACUUAUGCGAAAGCAUUCACCAAGGAUGUCUUCUUUAAUCAA